This 357-nucleotide long non-coding RNA is filed under the name Manihot esculenta (cassava). RNAcentral describes it as "long non-coding RNA (MESC_LNC005319)". Lineage: Eukaryota; Viridiplantae; Streptophyta; Magnoliopsida; Malpighiales; Euphorbiaceae. The record is from RNAcentral.
GGUGGAGGAGGUGCAACAUUCCCUGGAUUAGGGUUUGCUGUACCUGGAUAAAAGGAUGGGGGUGGGUACAUAGGGUACUGUGAGUAUGGUGGGUAGAAAGGUGGGUAUGGCAUGUAAGAAGGAUAAGGGUUAAAGCUGGGGUAAUCCGAUGUACCUCCCAUCGAAUACCCGGGAUUCUGUGAAAAGGGUGGGUAUUGGGGUGGUUGAACAAACCCCGAGGCCUGAGUGCCUCCCUGAGACUCUCCCAUGCCCUCUUCCGACAUGCUCACACCAAGACUGUCAUCCCUCCUCUGAUCCACAUCCAUAUCAUCCCCCACAUCUUCUGACACUCCACCUUGAACUGUUCCUCUUCUGCUC